Oryzias latipes (Japanese medaka) is the source of this 2860-nucleotide long non-coding RNA. RefSeq lists it as uncharacterized. The record is from RefSeq and is a predicted model, not a curated record. NCBI's taxonomy places the organism in Eukaryota, Metazoa, Chordata, Actinopteri, Beloniformes, Adrianichthyidae.
UUUAAAAUGGUCUUGUCAUCUAGAUUGACACCAUUUUUUUGGAGCGUUGAAAUAAAAUUUGGUUCAAAAUUAUGAAAAAAACAAGAGUGGAUCCCCUUAAUCCCUUCAGGCAUGGAAUUAAAUAUUUAACUCAGCAAGCUCUCACAGAAAAACAACACCUGAAAACAUCUGCGGAGGUAAAAAGAGUUAGCGACCCUCAAGAUAUACUACAACCAAGCGAAAAAAGCUUUCUGAAUUUAGGAUCCUGACAACGGCGGAGUUAAAAAGGCACAUUUUGUCAUAAAUAAAACAUACGCGGGCAACACACACAACCCCCCCACCACCACCACCAACAAAAAGUCCCAAGAGACAGAUGGGAUGCUGUUUGUGAACUCAUGCUUUGCACAGCAAAGGAGGCUAUAGCACUGCGUCACUGCGACUCCAACUACAUUCCCACAUCCAGCCCCACAUCCAGCAAGGACUAGUCCUGUUUAAAAAUUCAUUAAUUUACAGCAAAAAUAGAUUAAAGGGCCCAACUGCAGCAACCUAAAAAUUUGGCUGGUGAAUUGCAUUAAUAAUGGAAGUGAGCAUCCCAAACCUCAAGGCCCAGGCUCAGAGGCAUGGCUUUGGUUUUGUUACGCUUUAUAAUGGAGCAUCAUUUACAUUUUUUAGAAGUAUCGCAGCUUUUUGAUGCUUGUUUAUAAUUGCAUUGUUUUACAUGCAAAUUGGCUAACAAUUGAUAGUCAUUAAAGCCUAACUGGUAAGAGUGCAACUCUCCCUGCUUGUGUAAGACACGGGCUUCAACAUGAGGAAGCUUUCUGCUCAACUCCUGCGUCGCUGGCGGCGCGGGGACCCAGUUCAAUCCAAACAACGGCACAUAAAAGGUGAUCAUCCCUUUCUUGUCUCUCACAUCUUCCUUUUUUUUUUUUUAAAUCACAGGGAUGCUUUACUAACUGAAUCAAAGAGGAUUUCCACUAGAUAAAAGGAUUUGCAGCAUUAGAAUUUAAAUUGCGUGAUACUUUACCAGGGGACACGACAGAGGUCGCAUUGAAAGAGAUGGCACAAAAAAAAAAAAAAACAGUAGAUCCUGAUGUUGAAAUACUAUCUGGUUUCAUCCGACUAUCCAAUUCUUGGGAGUGUUAAACUAUCAGGUCAUUUUAAUAAAUCACUUCUAAAGGAGCUGAUAACUGAUGUGGCUUGAGGUAAUUAAAGUGACCCCAUGACCUGCAGUGGCCUGGCAAUUAGAGGCAAAUUAGAAGGCUUCCAGCUGAAAGGACAUCUCAUCCACACCUCCUUCAGCAUCCACCGCCGUGCUAUCUGCCUGCAAGACAUUUCACCAGAAAUCCCUCUGGAGGAAGAGUCUGUGAUGAAGAGGAGCAGACAGCUUCCAGGCAUCAAUCUGAACAACAGAAGAGUGCUAAAAAAAAUAUAUCGCAAUGUUAUGUUGAAUGAAGUGAUCUUUUUUUCAAGGUUAGCCGCUGAUUCGGAGAAGUCAAUGCAGCAGCUCUAAUCAUCUUCUGCUCAGCACGUCAAACAAAGAUGACUUAAAGAGACUUUUUUCAAAGGGCGGCUAAUGCGGAUGAUGCGGGUUCGUCAACAUGAGCCGUGCAGCAGUCCGCAGACGUGUGCUUCACUUCCACACAAGAAGCACACAAAAGUAUUAAUAUUCAAUAUUGCGCAUUACUUGCUUAACAAUACAAGUUGCCCUUGAGUUUCUUCCAUCCAACUUAUCCCGACAGACUCAUUUGUAAAUACGCUCAAAGGGAAUGAUCAAGAGAACAUACCUUUUUUCUAUAAAUUAAAAAAGAAAAAAUUAAAAGGCCACGAAUACAUCAGACAAACUGAGAUGUCUGUAAUUUAUCCACAAAUAACCCUUCAUUCAACUUUCAAAAAGUCAUUACCCACACUUGCUUCUUCAGCUAGCAUUUGCUGACAUUGACGAUAAUUGCAACGACCUUUCUGAUGAUAAAACACAAAUCAGUAAAACAUUAUGAUAGGUUCCUUCUCUUCACGUUUCACGAGAUUCUCCAUAACGUUUUAAUGAGGCAUUUAGGGGUCCAUGAGUGAUGUGCUGAAAAAGCCCUACAAUGGCAAUCAGCGAGUGAGUGUGGCAGCUGUUCGGCAAUUAAAAAGCCAAAUUACCCUCAAUCAACACCAUUUACAAGCACAAGUAAAUCUCAGAGCCAAUAAUGAUGAGAGAAAUCUGUUCAGACAGCACUCAUCUUGAUGGGAAUUAAGGGGGUGCAUGGAAAUCAGAACCAGGGGUGAUCUGUCCAUAAGACUUUUCCAGAGUUGAGACUGCAAGCAAGAUCCCUGAUGGAGAUUUUCUUUUAAAACAAUGUUUUAUAUCGAUCAUUUUAGAGACAUUUUUGACCCAUUUGAUGGAACAUUUACUACUCACCGCCGUGCGUGGAUGUGAACUGGCUCCCUUUUUUUAUUUAUUUUUUCUGUACUCCAGACGCCUAUGGUUGUGCUCCUGAAAAUCCCAUCCGAAGACAAAAGCUCCCGCGCGGCGGCUUGUCUUUCCCUGCGUCCUCCGGGGGCACGCGGCUAAGCACGCGUGCAGCGACCGCCGCUGUGGUCACUUGGACUGUCCUCGCGACGCGACGCCCGCGACCCGCUUUCCUUCACGUGAGCUCAGUCUCUGAAGAAGACCCCGGCUCUCCGCUGAUCUGCGCUCCGCUGAUAAGCCACCGGAACUACUUCCAGCGCCAGCCGGAGCACGUUGAAGAUGAAUUCAUGCACCACAAUAGGAAAAAUGAAUUCACAUCCAUGGAACUAGUCCCCGUUUCGGCGGCAGCACUGAGAUUUUCACAGGGACGUGAACGCCGCAUGUCAGAAAUAUUGAAAAUAAAACACACAUUUAGAUUUUUUUUUUAAA